AUUGAACGCUGGCGGCGUGCCUAACACAUGCAAGUCGAGCGGUAACAGGUGUAGCAAUACAUGCUGACGAGCGGCGGACGGGUGAGCAAUAUUUGGGAAUCUGCCUAUUAGUGGGGGACAACCCGGGGAAACUCGGGCUAAUACCGCAUACGCACUACGGUGGAAAGCCGGGGACCGCAAGGCCUGGCGCUAAUAGAUGAGCCCAAAUCGGAUUAGCUAGUUGGCGGGGUAGAAGCCCACCAAGGCUACGAUCCGUAGCUGGUCUGAGAGGACGAUCAGGCACACUGGAACU
This 292-nucleotide ribosomal RNA is filed under the name uncultured soil bacterium. Its description in RNAcentral is "partial 16S ribosomal RNA". It matches the Rfam family "Bacterial small subunit ribosomal RNA", at positions 30 to 320 of the family's 1533-position model. The record is from RNAcentral.